GACGAACGCUGGCGGCGUGCCUAAUACAUGCAAGUCGAACGAACUCUGGUAUUGAUUGGUGCUUGCAUCAUGAUUUACAUUUGAGUGAGUGGCGAACUGGUGAGUAACACGUGGGAAACCUGCCCAGAAGCGGGGGAUAACACCUGGAAACAGAUGCUAAUACCGCAUAACAACUUGGACCGCAUGGUCCGAGCUUGAAAGAUGGCUUCGGCUAUCACUUUUGGAUGGUCCCGCGGCGUAUUAGCUAGAUGGUGGGGUAACGGCUCACCAUGGCAAUGAUACGUAGCCGACCUGAGAGGGUAAUCGGCCACAUUGGGACUGAGACACGGCCCAAACUCCUACGGGAGGCAGCAGUAGGGAAUCUUCCUCAAUGGACGAAAGUUUGAUGGAGCAACGCCGCGUGAGUGAAGAAGGGUUUCGGCUCGUAAAACUCUGUUGUUAAAGAAGAACAUAUCUGGGAGUAACUGUUCAGGUAUUGACGGUAUUUAACCAGAAAGCCACGGCUAACUACGUGCCAGCAGCCGCGGUAA
Molecule: ribosomal RNA, 530 nt
Filed under: uncultured bacterium
Lineage: Bacteria
Description: partial 16S ribosomal RNA
Rfam family: Bacterial small subunit ribosomal RNA
Source: RNAcentral